UUUUCUCUCAUUAUUCUAUACCCAACAUUAUUUUCUAUGACAUUAUUUGAUGAGUUUGUGUUCUUUGGUAUUUCUUUUGUUAGUUCCCUUCUAUUUUGUAUGUGCUUUUUGACAUUGUAUAGUCAGUUUGUCUUCCAAUUAUGAGUUUAAUUGUCACUUUAGUAUUCUUUGCACACAAAGAUAAUGAGUAUUGUCUAUUUGUUAAGGACCUUAUGGUGACUAUAGUUGCUAACAUCUACUUCAUGGUCAGUAAUGGUCUCUGUAGGAAAGUUGUCUCACUGUCAAUAGUUAAAAAAGGUACAACUUCUUAUUUUAUACGCUAGACGUAUGUUUCCUCAACAUAAGUAGACAUAAGAAAAUGUGGAAUGAGUGCCAUAAACAGAUCUCCAUACAUAAGACUCAUUUGUGACGCUCAGAUCGAAAUAGUUAGAAAGCAAAACAAUUAUAAACUUGAAGAGCAUCGAGGAAGUACAUCACAACUCCUUUUUAGCUCACCUGACCUGAAAGGUCAAGUGAGCUUUUCUCAUCACUUGGCGUCCGUCGUCCGUAAACUUUUACAAAAAUCUUCUCCUCUGAAACUACUGGGCCAAAUUCUACCAAACUUGGCCACAAUCAUCUUGGGGUAUCUAGUUUAAAAAAUGUGUGGCUUGACCCGUCAAACCAACCAAGAUGGCCGCCAUGGCUAAAAAUAGAACAUAGGGGUAAAUUGCAGUUUUUGGCUUAUAACUCAAAAACCAAAGCAUUUAGAGCAAAUCUGACAUGGGUAAAAUGGUUGAUCAGGUCAAGAUCCAUCUGCUUAGAAAUUUUCAGACGAAUAGGACAACCUGUUGUUGGGUUGCUGCCUGUGAAAUGGUUAUUUUAAGGAAAUUUUGCAGUUUUUGGUUAUUAUCUGGAAUACUAUUAUAGAUAGAGAUAAACUGUAAACAGCAAUAAUGUUCAGCAAAGUAAGACCUACAAAUAAGUCAACAUGACCAAAAUUGUCAGUUGACCCCUUAAGGAGUUAUUGCCCUUUAUAGUCAAUUUUUAACAACUUUUCUGUAUUUUUUGUAACUUUUCUAAAAAUCUUCUUCUCCAAAACUACUUUGCCAAAUUUAACCAAACUUAGCCACAAUUAUCAUUGUGGUUUAUAGUUUAGAAAAUGUGUCCGAUGACCCAGCCUACCAAACAAAAUGGCCGACAUGGCUAAAAUUAGAACAUAGUGGUAAAAUGCAGUUUUUGCUUAAUAUUUUUGAAACUAAGACAUUUAGGGCAAAUCUUUCAAGAUUUAAAUGUCCAUCAGAAUAAGAUAUAUCCCCUCACAAAUUUUGAGUUGAAUCCGACAACCUGUUGUUGGGUUGCUGCCCUAAAAUUGGUGAUUUUAAGGAAAUUUGCAGUUUUUUGGUUAUUAUCUUGAAUACUAUUAUAGAUAGAGAUAAACUGUAAACAGCAAUAAUGUUCAGCAAAGUAAGAUCUACAAAUAAGUCAGCAAGAUCAAAAUUGUUAGAGGACCCCUUAAGGAGAUAUUGCCCUUUAUAGUCAAUAUUGAACAACUUUUCGUCAUUUUGGUAACUUGUAUAAAAAUCUUUUCUAAAAUGACUUGGCCAAAUUUAACCAAACUUGGCCACAAUCAUAAUACUAGGGUAUCUAUUUUUUUUAAAAAGUGUCUAAUGACCCCGCCUACCAACGAAGAUGGCCGACAUCAGUAAACACAUUAACAGGUGAGCGACACAGGCUCUUGAGAGCCUCUAGUUUUUUUAUUUUCUGGUAAAGAUAUGACUUGUAACAAUUAUUACAUUUUGUUUGAAGGUUAAAAGAUGUAUGAGAUGUAAUAUAUAAUGUUAUCUAGUUAAAAUUUUAUUAUUGUACAUAGGUUCAAAAUUCAUGAUUCUUUUUCUUUGGAAGAAAUAAUUUAUUUAUCACUUUUGUGUAUUGAAAACAUUGAAUUUUACAUGUUUAGUUCAUGUUUUAAUUGAGUUUGGGCAAGUAUUUUCAAACAGUUUGCGGAAGAAAUUUGUCUUCUUUUGAAUUAUGAAAAUACAGUUUACUUGUUGCCUUAAGUUAAUUAUCUAUUCCAUUUUCUCAUCAUUCAUGUUUUGUAUUUGUCACGUCACAAGUAGAUUACCUAGAUCAGAAUAUCUGCAUAUCUGCAUAUCAAAUAUUACCAAUAAGACAUUUUACACAAUGCCAAUGACUGUGAAUACUUGUACACAAGAAAAAGGUCAUUCUGGAUUUUGCAUACAAGACUAGGAUACUUCUAAACAUGUCAUCACUGACAGGAACUAAAAUCAAGAAAUUACUGAUUCAAUUUAAAAUUGAAUACAUAUUUUGUUUGUUUUACACUUAAAUUAAAAGAGUUUCAAGGUUUGCUUAUUUUAGACAGCAACCCUAGAUACUUUUUAUAUUAGGAAUCUAAAGAAAGUAAAUUUUUAUCUUCUUAUACCAUAUGAUUAAAUAAUUACAUUGGAUGUAUGUUUCAUUAUAAUACGUUAUUCUGAUUGGCUAACUAGCAAUCUCGUGAUAUUCCUUAAUCAAUUGCAUUACACAAUGCAACUUUUCAUUCAUGAUGACACGAGGUCCCACAAUAAAGUGCACAGGUAAAUGAAAUAAAAACUUGAUAAAAGUCGUGUUUUCAUGAUCAUAUAGGUAAAAAUGUAAUUAUAAGUAUUGAAUGCUUUUUUUUGUAACUUUAUAGGGUUGUAAAAGUGUUGACCGUGCGCACAUUUUUAGUAUGAAGUGCUUCCGCGCUUCAUACAAAAUGUACUUGGGUCAACGCUUUUACACCCAAUAAAAUUUACAAAAAAGAGCAUUCCAUUCUUAAAUAACAUAAAUCCCAUCAGAGACAAAUCUUAUAGCAUUGCAAGAUGUUUUAACAUAUAUAUAAGAUCUCACAUGAAAUAGGACUGUCCAAUAGAGGUUAACUUUCAUCAGGGUUGUCCUUGUUGAGGUUUAAUAUCAUGGGAAGGAAACAAAGUCCUCGAAGAAAAUAGAUACAAUCAAAAUAGUAGCAAAAAAGACAUUUUCCAAUAGUAUGACUUAAUACAGGCACACAUUGUAUUGGGCUUUAACCAAUGUGUUUGUUUAUGAAACUGGUAAUUUCAAACCAUGUCAAUACCAACUGAAAUGUUUUUAGAGGAACCUGACUAGGAAGGCGUAAGGAAAUACAGAGGUUGUGGAAAGCUGACUGUGAUACAUUUUUGUAGAUCAUGUUUUACUUAUGUUAAAUUUGUUGCCCCAUUUCUUUAUGUUGUAAUUUUAAAGAAUUGUAAACUUUAAAACAAGUUGCUUACUUUUGUUUGUUUCAUGUUUGAAAUAAAUUAUGUGAUACAAUGUUUAUAAAAUAAAUGUGCUGAAUUU
This 3333-nucleotide long non-coding RNA is filed under the name Mytilus galloprovincialis (Mediterranean mussel). The record is from RNAcentral. Lineage: Eukaryota; Metazoa; Mollusca; Bivalvia; Mytilida; Mytilidae.